Molecule: microRNA precursor, 63 nt
Filed under: Mus pahari (shrew mouse)
Lineage: Eukaryota; Metazoa; Chordata; Mammalia; Rodentia; Muridae
Description: microRNA 7667 (MGP_PahariEiJ_G0007241.1)
Source: RNAcentral
GAGCCAUAUCUCUAGCCCUGGUAUCCUUUUAAAUAUGCUUCAGGGAUUGCAGAGAUGGCCCUG